UCGGGAAUUUUGGGCAAUGGGCGAAAGCCUGACCCAGCAACGCCGCGUGAAGGAUGAAGUAUUUCGGUAUGUAAACUUCGAAAGAAUAGGAAGAAUAAAUGACGGUACUAUUUAUAAGGUCCGGCUAACUACGUGCCAGCAGCCGCGGUAAUACGAAGGGGACUAGCGUUGUUCGGAAUUACUGGGCGUAAAGCGUGCGCAGGCGGCCGCGCAAGUCAGGUGUGAAAUCCCCGGGCUUAACCUGGGAAUUGCGCUUGAAACUAUGCGGCUAGAGUGUGGCAGAGGGGGGUGGAAUUCCACGUGUAGCAGUGAAAUGCGUAGAGAUCGGGAGGAACAUCGGUGGCGAAGGCGGCCAGCUGGGCCGUUGCUGACGCUGAGGCGCGAAAGCGUGGGGAGCAAACAGGAUUAGAUACCCCUGUAGUCCCUGAGCGGGCUGGCAAGGCGCAU
This 447-nucleotide ribosomal RNA is filed under the name uncultured bacterium. RNAcentral's name for it is "bacterial SSU rRNA". It matches the Rfam family "Bacterial small subunit ribosomal RNA", at positions 355 to 825 of the family's 1533-position model. The record is from RNAcentral.